CUGAGGAUAUCUUGCUGUUCUGAUUUUAUAAUAGAACAGGCUAAAGAUUGACUAUAUUAAGACCACUCAUGUUUCCCCAGUCCUAAUUCUUUCCCCAGGUCUGGUUUUACAAACGCUGGUAAUAAAC
Aotus nancymaae (Ma's night monkey) is the source of this 127-nucleotide small nucleolar RNA. Its record names the gene SNORA72. It matches the Rfam family "Small nucleolar RNA SNORA72". From Rfam's summary of the family: U72 is a member of the H/ACA class of snoRNAs. Lineage: Eukaryota; Metazoa; Chordata; Mammalia; Primates; Aotidae. The record is from Ensembl.